CAGUCGCCGCGGUAAUACGAAGGGUGCAAGCGUUACUCGGAAUUACUGGGCGUAAAGCGUGUGUAGGUGGUUGUUUAAGUCUGUCGUGAAAGCCCUGGGCUCAACCUGGGAAUUGCGAUGGAUACUGGGCGACUAGAGUGCGGUAGAGGAUAGUGGAAUUUCCGGUGUAGCAGUGAAAUGCGUAGAGAUCGGAAGGAACAUCUGUGGCGAAGGCGACUAUCUGGGCCAGCACUGACACUGAGACACGAAAGCGUGGGGAGCAAACAGGAUUAGAUACCCCCGUAGUCCCUGUCUCUUAUAC
Molecule: ribosomal RNA, 301 nt
Filed under: uncultured bacterium
Lineage: Bacteria
Description: partial 16S ribosomal RNA
Rfam family: Bacterial small subunit ribosomal RNA
Source: RNAcentral